This 933-nucleotide ribosomal RNA is filed under the name uncultured archaeon. RNAcentral describes it as "bacterial SSU rRNA". It matches the Rfam family "Archaeal small subunit ribosomal RNA", at positions 1 to 922 of the family's 1478-position model. The record is from RNAcentral.
UUCCGGUUGAUCCUGCCGGACCCGACUGCUAUUGGAGUAGGACUAAGUCACGCUAGUUAAAGGUGCGGAAUGGAGCACCUAGCGCACGGCUCAGUAACACGUAGUCAAUCUACCCUAAGGACGGGUACAACCACGGGAAACUGUGGAUAAUACCCGAUAGGAAAUUUGGCCUGGAACGGUAUCUUUCCGAAAACCGGCUAGCCGUUAGACACGGGCCUUAGGAUGGGGCUGCGGUCGAUUAUGCUAGAUGGCGGUGUAAAGGACCACCAUGGCGACGAUCGAUAUGGGCGAUGGAAGUCGGAGCCCAGAGUCGGCCACUGAGACAAGGGGCCGAGCCUUACGAGGCUUAGCGGUCGCGAAAACUCGCCAAUGCACGAAAGUGUGAGUGGGCUACUCCAAGUGUCAUUCUUACGGAUGACUGUCGCUCAGUAUUACAAGCUGAGAAAGGAAGGAGAGGGCAAGGCUGGUGCCAGCCGCCGCGGUAAAACCAGCUCUUCGAGUGGUCGGGACGUAUAUUGGGUCUAAAGCGCUCGUAGCCGGACAAGUAGGUUCCUGGUUAAACCCGACAGCAUAACUGUUGGACCGCUGGGAAUACCGCUAGUCUUGGAAGCGGGAGAGGACAGAGGUAGUCAUGGGGCAGGGGUGAAAUCCAGUGAUCCCAUGGCGACCACCGAUGGCGAAGGCAUCUGUCUGGAACGUAUUCGACGGUGAGGGGCGAAAGCUAGGGGAGCGACCCGGAUUAGAUACCCGGUUAGUCCUAGCCGUAAACGAUGCGGACUAGGUGUUGCGGUGGCCAAGAGCCACUGCGGUGCCACAGCGAAGGCGUUAAGUCCGCCACCUGGGGAGUACGGAUGCAAGUCUGAAACUUAAAGGAAUUGACGGGGGCGCACCACCAGGAGUGAAGCCUGCGGUUUAAUUGGAGUCAACGCCGGG